This 350-nucleotide unclassified non-coding RNA is filed under the name soil metagenome. RNAcentral describes it as "partial contains 5.8S ribosomal RNA, internal transcribed spacer 2, and large subunit ribosomal RNA". The stretch from base 1 to 120 matches the Rfam family "5.8S ribosomal RNA", at positions 35 to 154 of the family's 154-position model. The record is from RNAcentral.
GAUGAAGAACGUAGUGAAAUGCGAUAAGUAAUGUGAAUUGCAGAAUUCAGUGAAUCAUCGAAUCUUUGAACGCACAUUGCGCCCGCCAGUAUUCUGGCGGGCAUGCCUGUUCGAGCGUCAUUUCAACCCUCAAGCCCAGCUUGGUGUUGGGGAUCGGCACAGGCGCCCUCGGGCGCCCGCCGUCCCCUAAAUCUAGUGGCGGUCCCGCUGCAGCCUCCUCUGCGUAGUAGUUUUCUCCUCGCAAGGGCAGCUCGGUGGCGACCUCGCCGUAAAACCCCCAACUUCUGAAAGGUUGACCUCGCAUCAGGUAGGAAUACCCGCUGAACUUAAGCAUAUCAAUAAGCGGAGGA